UACGGGGGGAGCAAGCGUUGUUCGGAUUUACUGGGCGUAAAGCGCGCGUAGGCGGCGCAACAAGUCACUUGUGAAAUCUCCGGGCUUAACUCGGAGCGGCCAAGUGAUACUGUCGUGCUAGAGUGCGGAAGGGGCUACUGGAAUUCUCGGUGUAGCGGUGAAAUGCGUAGAUAUCGAGAGGAACACCUGCGGCGAAGGCGGGUAGCUGGGCCGACACUGACGCUGAGGCGCGAAAGCCAGGGGAGCGAACGGG
This 253-nucleotide ribosomal RNA is filed under the name uncultured bacterium. Its description in RNAcentral is "partial 16S ribosomal RNA". It matches the Rfam family "Bacterial small subunit ribosomal RNA", at positions 524 to 776 of the family's 1533-position model. The record is from RNAcentral.